GACGAACGCUGGCGGCGCGCCUAACACAUGCAAGUCGAACGAGCGAGAGGAGGUUUACUUUCUCAAGCGAGUGGCGAACGGGUGAGUAACGCGUGAGGAACCUGCCUCAAAGAGGGGGACAACAGUUGGAAACGACUGCUAAUACCGCAUAAGCCCACGACCCGGCAUCGGGUAGAGGGAAAAGGAGCAAUCCGCUUUGAGAUGGCCUCGCGUCCGAUUAGCUAGUUGGUGAGGUAAUGGCCCACCAAGGCGACGAUCGGUAGCCGGACUGAGAGGUUGAACGGCCACAUUGGGACUGAGACACGGCCCAGACUCCUACGGGAGGCAGCAGUGGGGAAUAUUGCACAAUGGGGGAAACCCUGAUGCAGCGACGCCGCGUGGAGGAAGAAGGUCUUCGGAUUGUAAACUCCUGUUGUUGAGGAAGAUAAUGACGGUACUCAACAAGGAAGUGACGGCUAACUACGUGCCAGCAGCCGCGGUAAAACGUAGGUCACAAGCGUUGUCCGGAAUUACUGGGUGUAAAGGGAGCGCAGGCGGGAAGACAAGUUGGAAGUGAAAUCCAUGGGCUCAACCCAUGAACUGCUUUCAAAACUGUUUUUCUUGAGUAGUGCAGAGGUAGGCGGAAUUCCCGGUGUAGCGGUGGAAUGCGUAGAUAUCGGGAGGAACACCAGUGGCGAAGGCGGCCUACUGGGCACCAACUGACGC
Molecule: ribosomal RNA, 705 nt
Filed under: uncultured Lachnospiraceae bacterium
Lineage: Bacteria; Bacillati; Bacillota; Clostridia; Lachnospirales; Lachnospiraceae
Description: bacterial SSU rRNA
Rfam family: Bacterial small subunit ribosomal RNA
Source: RNAcentral